RNAcentral lists this unclassified non-coding RNA (400 nucleotides) under uncultured fungus. RNAcentral describes it as "sequence contains ITS1". The stretch from base 1 to 105 matches the Rfam family "5.8S ribosomal RNA", at positions 50 to 154 of the family's 154-position model. The record is from RNAcentral. Lineage: Eukaryota; Fungi.
UAAAUGCGAUAAGUAGCGUGAAUUGCAGACACUUUGAACGUUAAAAUUUCGAACGCACAUUGCGCCAUAGGAGUCCUACCCUAUGGCACAUCUGUCUGAGGGUCGUGAUUAAAGACAGCCCAGCAUUUGGGGGCUGUAAGUUGCAUUGGUGAAUCAUUCGACUGGCAUGCCUUUUUGUCGGUAGUGUUUUGCUAUAAUGCUUUAGAGGGAAUCUUGCUUCGGUCGUGCCUUUGAACGAAGUCCUAUAGGUUCUUCCUUACCACACGGAUGAUCUAUUAGCUGAAGCAAUAGGUCUCGGUCACCGGGUAUCAUACUAACUAUAUACUCUGUGGCGUCUGAGAUACAGCUAGUGGGCUUCAUACGUGCCUGGUAUUGAGAGUAUUCGCUCUCCCGACCUCAA